RNAcentral lists this ribosomal RNA (413 nucleotides) under Roseobacter sp. SJ1816. RNAcentral's name for it is "bacterial SSU rRNA". It matches the Rfam family "Bacterial small subunit ribosomal RNA", at positions 54 to 514 of the family's 1533-position model. Lineage: Bacteria; Pseudomonadati; Pseudomonadota; Alphaproteobacteria; Rhodobacterales; Roseobacteraceae. The record is from RNAcentral.
CAUAGCAGUCGAGCGCACCUUCGGGUGAGCGGCGGACGGGUUAGUAACGCGUGGGAACGUACCCUUUUCUGCGGGAUAGCCUUGGGAAACUGAGAGUAAUACCGCAUACGCCCUUCGGGGGAAAGAUUUAUCGGAGAAGGAUCGGCCCGCGUUAGAUUAGAUAGUUGGUGGGGUAAUGGCCUACCAAGUCUACGAUCUAUAGCUGGUUUUAGAGGAUGAUCAGCAACACUGGGACUGAGACACGGCCCAGACUCCUACGGGAGGCAGCAGUGGGGAAUCUUAGACAAUGGGCGCAAGCCUGAUCUAGCCAUGCCGCGUGUGUGAUGAAGGCCUUAGGGUCGUAAAGCACUUUCGCCAGAGAUGAUAAUGACAGUAUCAUGGUAAAGAAACCCCGGCUAACUCCGUGCCAGCAC